UGAGGAAUAUUGGUCAAUGGGCGAAAGCCCGAACCAGCAACGCCGCGUGGAGGAUGAAGGUUUUCGGACUGUAAACUUCUUUUCGGGGAGACGAGAAAGGACGGUAUCCCCGGAAUAAGCCACGGCAAACUACGUGCCAGCAGCCGCGGUAAUACGUAGGUGGCGAGUGUUAUCCGGAUUCACUGGGCGUAAAGCGCUUGUAGGUGGUUCUGUAAGUUGGGUGUCAAAUCUUCGGGCUUAACUCGAAGCGCCGCUCAAUACUGCAGAACUGGAGGAUGUCAGAGGAAGAUGGAAUUCCCGGUGUAGUAGUGAAAUGCGUAGAUAUCGGGAGGAACACCCGUGGCGAAGGCGGUCUUCUGGGGCAUUCCUGACACUGAGAAGCGAAAGCCAGGGGAGCGAACGGG
This 404-nucleotide ribosomal RNA is filed under the name uncultured bacterium. RNAcentral's name for it is "bacterial SSU rRNA". It matches the Rfam family "Bacterial small subunit ribosomal RNA", at positions 355 to 776 of the family's 1533-position model. The record is from RNAcentral.